GAUGAACGCUGGCGGCGUGCCUAAUACAUGCAAGUCGAGCGAACAGACGAGGAGCUUGCUCCUCUGACGUUAGCGGCGGACGGGUGAGUAACACGUGGAUAACCUACCUAUAAGACUGGGAUAACUUCGGGAAACCGGAGCUAAUACCGGAUAAUAUAUUGAACCGCAUGGUUCAAUAGUGAAAGACGGUUUUGCUGUCACUAAUAGAUGGAUCCGCGCCGCAUUAGCUAGUUGGUAAGGUAACUGCUUACCAAGGCGACGAUGCGUAGACGACCUGAGAGGGUGGACGGCCAGCCUGGAACUGAGACACGGUCCAGACUCCUACGGUAGGCAGCAGUAGGGAAUCUUCCGCAAUGGGCGAGAGCCUGACGGAGCAACGCCGCGUGAGUGAUGAAGGUCUUCGGAUCGUAAAACUCUGUUAUUAGGGAAGAACAAAUGUGUAAGUAACUGUGCACGUCUUGACGGUACCUAGUCAGAAAGCCACGGCUAACUACGUG
This 497-nucleotide ribosomal RNA is filed under the name uncultured bacterium. RNAcentral's name for it is "partial 16S ribosomal RNA". It matches the Rfam family "Bacterial small subunit ribosomal RNA", at positions 28 to 507 of the family's 1533-position model. The record is from RNAcentral.